GUAUCAAAUUGUCAUGUUCGUGUGUUUUACGCGCGCACGCAUCGCACGAUGCCAGCACCGACACCUCGGAGUCUCCUUAACCUUUCGAACCCGUUAAACGGCCCGAAAAUGACGCCCGAGACACGACUACACAAAUUAAAAUAUUUUGAUAAUAAAGACUUUAAUGCGUCGCGGCAUUUAUGUGAACAUUGUGUGAUGGACAAAUUACAAACAUUUCAUCAUUACCUACAUCGGUUGAUGAUAAUCGAGGAAGGAAUAUCGGCAAAGUAUUUACGUAAACGCACAAAAGGACAAAGCACACAAGCGGCUGAAAAUGUCAUUCGCAGGGAUUAUGUUCGAGACGUAACGCCGGAAUUUCUGCGUGGGUUUUUCAAAGGCGCACGCCUCGGUUGUAAUUGACGGGCUGACGGUUUAAGAAACAUAAACGUGUGUUACGUUUAGAGUUGCUAAAUAUGGUUAU
Long non-coding RNA from Dalotia coriaria, 460 nucleotides. RefSeq lists it as uncharacterized. The record is from RefSeq and is a predicted model, not a curated record. NCBI's taxonomy places the organism in Eukaryota, Metazoa, Arthropoda, Insecta, Coleoptera, Staphylinidae. The transcript is spliced from 4 exons.